RNAcentral lists this ribosomal RNA (497 nucleotides) under uncultured bacterium. RNAcentral describes it as "partial 16S ribosomal RNA". It matches the Rfam family "Bacterial small subunit ribosomal RNA", at positions 28 to 507 of the family's 1533-position model. The record is from RNAcentral.
GAUGAACGCUGGCGGCGUGCCUAAUACAUGCAAGUCGAGCGAACAGACGAGGAGCUUGCUCCUCUGACGUUAGCGGCGGACGGGUGAGUAACACGUGGAUAACCUACCUAUAAGACUGGGAUAACUUCGGGAAACCGGAGCUAAUACCGGAUAACAUGUUGAACCGCAUGGUUCAACGGUGAAAGACGGUCUUGCUGUCGCUUAUAGAUGGAUCCGCGCCGCAUUAGCUAGUUGGUAAGGUAACGGCUUACCAAGGCAACGAUGCGUAGCCGACCUGAGAGGGUGAUCGGCCACACUGGAACUGAGACACGGUCCAGACUCCUACGGGAGGCAGCAGUUGGGAAUCUUCCGCAAUGGGCGAAAGCCUGACGGAGCAACGCCGCGUGAGUGAAGAAGGUCUUCGGAUCGUAAAACUCUGUUAUUAGGGAAGAACAAAUGUGUAAGUAACUAUGCACGUCUUGACGGUACCUAAUCAGAAAGCCACGGCUAACUACGUG